RNAcentral lists this long non-coding RNA (1173 nucleotides) under Parus major (Great Tit). Its description in RNAcentral is "lncRNA (ENSPMJG00000002129.1)". Lineage: Eukaryota; Metazoa; Chordata; Aves; Passeriformes; Paridae. The record is from RNAcentral.
CGGAACUUCUCCAGAACCUCCAGAACUUCUCCAGAACCACCAGGAACCUCCAGAACCGCUGCCAGGACCCCUCUGGAUCCAUCCCACGGCCUCCAGAACCUCCAGAACUUCUCCAGAACCUCCGGAACUUCUCCCAGGACCCCUCUGGAUCCAUCCCAAAGCUUCCAGAACCAUCCAGAACCAUCAGGAACCUCUGGAACUUCUCCCAGGACCCCUCUGGAUCCAUCCCACGGCCUCCAGAACCUUCGGAACUUCUCCAGAACCUCCGGAACUUCUCCCAGGACCCCUCUGGAUCCAUCCCAAAGCUUCCAGAACCAUCCAGAACCAUCAGGAACCUCCAGAACUUCUCCAGAACCUCUGGAAUUUCUCCCAGGACCUCUCUGGAUCCAUCCCAUGGCCUCCAGAACCUCCAGAACUUCUCCAGAACCUCCAGAACUUCUCCAGAACCUCCGGAACUUCUCCAGAACCAUCAGGAACCUUCGGAACUUCUCCCAGGACCCCUCUGGAUCCACCCCAAGGCUUCCAGAACCAUCCAGAAGCGGGGGAAGCUCCGGAGCCGCUCCAGGGACUCGUCCGGAGCUCUCCCGGCGUCUCCGGGUGGGAUUUUAAGCUUCACUCGCGUCUAUUUUUAAGCUCAGAUGGUUUCAAAGAUAUUUUUUUAAAAUCCUUGUCCACGGAAAACCUUCGGGAAUUUUUUCCUUUGGGAAUUUUUUCCUUCGGGAAUUUUUUUGGGAAUUUUUUAUUCUUUGGGGAAUUUUUUUCUUUGGGAAUUUUUUUCUUUGGGAAUUUUUUAUUCUUUGGGAAUUUUUUUUUUCCUUUGGGAAUUUUUUAUUCUUUGGGAAUUUUUUUUUUCCUUUGGGAAUUUUUUUCUUCUUUGGGAAUUUUGGAUCUUCCUCCCCUCCCCUGGAGUUUGUGAAUCCCAAAAUGGGAUUUUUUAUUUUUAUUUUUUAUUUUUAUUUGAUAUUUAUUUGAUAUUUAUUUAUUUUUAUUUUAUUUGAUAUUUAUUUUUAUUUGAUAUUUAUUUUUAUUUGAUAUUUAUUUAUUUUAAUUUUUAUUUUAUAUUUAUUUUUAUUUAAUAUUUAUUUUUGUUUGAUAUUUAUUUUUAUUUGAUAUUUAUUUUUAUUUGAUAUUUAUUUUUAAUUGAUAUUUAUUUUUAAUUGAUAUUUAUUUUUA